This 75-nucleotide transfer RNA is filed under the name Sphaerodactylus townsendi. RNAcentral describes it as "tRNA-Ala". Lineage: Eukaryota; Metazoa; Chordata; Lepidosauria; Squamata; Sphaerodactylidae. The record is from RNAcentral.
GCAGGGGCUGUGGGUCAGUGGUUGAGUAUUUUCUUUGCAUGAAAAAGGUCCUAGUUUCAAACCUUAGUACCUGCA